AUUGUUCCUAGCCUAGAGUAAACUAAUUUUUUUUAACAUAAUUAAGUUUUCAACUGUGAAAUUACUUUGUACUUGAGUAAUUAGUUUUUUUUCCAUUAUAUUUUCAAAGUAAAAUGUACACUUUUACUCUACUACAUUUUCCCUGGACAUCUAUGUUACUCGUGCAAACUGAAAUCUUGUAAAUGAAAGGCACUUUGAUGCAUUUGGCAAAAUGAGAGCUGCUAAGUAUCUGUCAGUAGCAAUUAAGCAAGUGAAACAAGAUGGCGGUAGCGGUGCUGCCUCAGCCCCACCAGCUACAAAUGUUAAAGGAGAACCCUUGUGGUCAUAUCUAAAACAUUUUUCUUUUGUUUGAGUUAAAGAUUUAUUUUACCACAUAAUGUGUCUCUUGGAUGUGCCAAAAACACAGAUACAGUCAUUUAGAAACUCGCCAUCCAACUAAAUAAAACUACAUACUUAUGUUUCCGUUUCUCUUUUGCAGUGAAUGGUGCUGCAAGUGGUGCAGUGGUGAAUGUGGCGUUGUAAGGCCUGCCCCUCAGUUUUACCAAGUCUGUGCGAAUAGUGACGUUGAAGAGAGCAAUCUGUGUCUGAGACAUUGAACUAAAACCAUGACAUCAGCUAUUCUUAAAGUAAUCCUCGGUCCAGACAGCUGUCAGAGGGUGGUGUUUUCUGAUGGCCUGCCAUCAACUGUGACUGAACUGGAGACUGAGAUAAAGAGUCAGUGUAAAACAAUAGAGUCUUUUCGGCUGCAGUUCAUAGACCACCUUUUUGGCAAUUUAGUUUAUGAGCUUAUGAACUUAACUUCAAUGGAAGAAAUUCAAGACAAAGCUACAGUCAAGGUUAUAUACGUAUCCUGUAAACCUCUUAAUGCUGAUGCACAUAAAGGUGUGGACAGUUGCUCCUUUCCACUAAUCAGUCAUCCUGAUGACACCACGUCAUCCUCUGGUGACAGCACUGUACUGUACCUCUCACAACUACAGAGUCCACUUCUUCAUGGUCUUCGUGGCCAGAUAUAUUUCAUGUUACCCGUUUUUCAUAUGAUGCAGAAUUGAAGCUUGAGGAGGCCAACAAAGCUUUGAGAGAAAAGGGUACACUGCUGAUCCCUGAUCCAAAGCUGAGUUCUGAUAUACUAGAGGGGUUGAUUCAGGAAAUUGUUAAGCACAAAGUAUAUAUCUCAGACAGGGAGUUUGACCAAGUUGCAGAGACACUCAUUAUGAGGCAUCUAUGUUUACAAGAGAAAGGCUCAGCCAUCGGCUAUGGGGGAUAGAAGACUAGUCUUAAAUGCAAGCUGUCCAACUAACUCACACAUCUUUGGAAAGUAGGAUGUCCUGAGGUAUGUGUAAAUGCUUUGGUUCAUAAACCAGAUGGGAAAUGUUGUCCUGCCUUUGGCAUUAAGAAACCAAAGAGAGAAGUGGCUUACUGGCCCUCCUUUCCCCUUGGAAAAAGCUACCAGUCUUUGGAGAAGAUGAGGGUUGAACUCCUUUCAGAUAUCAAGAAGCAUAAUAACAGAGAGACAGUUAGGUCUAAAAUGGAAGAAACAUUUGCAUUAAGAAGACAAGAAAUAAUUUGUGAUGCUCCCAUGAUCACAGAAGUACAAGAGAGACUCCGUAAUGUAAUGGAGGCAAGUUAAAAAAUAUAUAUUUUAAGAAUUUCAUGACUUGUGCUACAGAUGGUGUAUGCAACUGUUGGAAUAAUGCUUGGCUUCAUUGGCAUGUUCAGAUUAUUCUACAGCAGAAAUCAAAUGAAAAGUAAAAAAGUACAUGCAGUGAUGUGGUUGGCAGGUGUAGUUUUGAUGAAACAAAUGUCUUGUGUUUAUGUCAGUGGGCUGUGUUAAAAAAAAUAAAAUCAUGUUGUUUCAGAUAAAAGAAUUCAAGCGUAUCACAACCAUGUCUCUACAGUCACAUCUUCUGACCAGUCUUUCACAUCUGUCUUUGGGGAUUUUUACCCACUUCUCCCUACAGAAAUCAGCCAGUUGAGAGAGGUUGGAAGGACAUCUGGCAUGUAUUGCCCGCUUCAGGUCUAUGCACAACAUUUCAAUUGGAUUGAGAUCUGAACUCUGACUAGGCCAAUCAAGAGUGUGAAACUUCUUUCUCUUAAGCCAUUUCUUGGUGGAUUUGCUUGAAUGCUUAGGGUCGUUGUCUUGUUGCUUCACCCAUUUUCGGCCCAGCUUCAGCUCUCUGACUGAUGGCAGGAGAUUCUCUUCAAGAAUUUGUUGAUAGGUCUGAGAAUUCAAGUUUCCCUGUAUAAUAUGGAGUUACCCUGGCCCAGAGGCAGAAAAGUAGCCACAGUCCUUCACAUUUCCACCACCAUGCUUCACUGUUGGGAGGAUGUUUUUUUCCUGGAAUUCAAUAUUGGCUUUUCUCCAAACAUGGCAGCUUUGAUUAUGA
Molecule: long non-coding RNA, 2384 nt
Organism: Hemibagrus wyckioides
Lineage: Eukaryota; Metazoa; Chordata; Actinopteri; Siluriformes; Bagridae
Exons: 3
Source: RefSeq, a predicted model, not a curated record